ACACGUAAGGGGCAAGCGUUGUUCGGAAUUAUUGGGCGUAAAGGGUGCGCAGGCGGUUAUCUAAGCCUGAUGUAAAAGGCUCCGGCUCAACUGGAGGGAUGCAUUGGGAACUGGGUAACUUGAGUAUAAGAGGGGGAGUUGGAAUUCCAGGUGUAGGGGUGAAAUCUGUAGAUAUCUGGAAGAACACCAGUGGCGAAGGCAAACUUCUGGCUAUAUACUGACGCUGAGGCACGAAAGCGUGGGGAGCGAACAGGAUUAGAUACCCUGGUAGUCCACGCCGUAAACGAUGUGCACUAGGAGGUGGGUAGCAGUAUUCAUCUCCGUAGCAAACGCGAUAAGUGCACCGCCUGGGGAGUAUGCUCGCAAGGGUGAA
RNAcentral lists this ribosomal RNA (373 nucleotides) under uncultured bacterium. RNAcentral describes it as "bacterial SSU rRNA". It matches the Rfam family "Bacterial small subunit ribosomal RNA", at positions 523 to 898 of the family's 1533-position model. The record is from RNAcentral.